This 321-nucleotide long non-coding RNA is filed under the name Citrus sinensis (sweet orange). RNAcentral describes it as "long non-coding RNA (CSIN_LNC005126)". The record is from RNAcentral. Lineage: Eukaryota; Viridiplantae; Streptophyta; Magnoliopsida; Sapindales; Rutaceae.
GACCUGUUGUAAGAGCUAUUGAAAAUUUAGAAUUGCAGGAGACGAGGCUAAAACCACUUCGGAUGUGAAAAUUUUUUACAAGCUUGCAAGAAAAUAACUUUUUCAAACUUUUAACAAUAAAACUAAUAAAAUAUUAAAUCAAUUUACAGCUACCAAAAGCUAAACUUCAGAUGGGUCCCUGCAUACCAAAACCAAAAAACAAAAACUGAAUGAUAUUAGAAAAAAAAAAGACAAAAUAUACAACAAUACUCAGAUUUCAACUGCAUGAUCUAACUGCCUAAAAAUAGACAACAAUACUCAAAUUUCAAUUGCAUGAUCUUA